CACACACACACACACACACACACAAAAGCAGCUGGAAAAUUUAUUACGCCCAAGAGAAAUAUGAAUUCUGGCAAGAUUAUAGAGGAUUGAAAAAGGAUGCAGAAGGAAAAAGAAAUUUCAAACAGCUUUGCAAAUAAAAUGGAAGGUGCAGAGUUUCUUAUUCAAAAAAGAGAAUACCUUUAAACUGUACAGAGUAGAGCCUUGACCUUGGGACUUAGAGUGUACUCUGGAACUGAUUAAGUCUUAAAACUGCACAGAGGGCUAAAAACAUGAUAUGAGUUAGAUAAAAGCUGCUUUUAUAAAAAUGACCUCUAGGUUGAAAAUUAGCUACAGAUUAAAAAAAAAAAAAAGAUGGCCAUCAGCAGGAUAGUUAUUAAAGAACAGGAAAAGACAUCUUUCUUGGAUCAUUUAUUAACCCUUUUAUUCAUUUAACAAAUAUUUAUUUGUACCUAAUAAUGUGCUAUGUUCUAGGGAUAGAAUGGUAAACAAGAGAGCAUGGGUGCUGCUCUCAAAGAGUUUAUAAUCUAUGAAGGAGAUACACAAGUAAUUACAAAACAAUGUGGUAGUGUUGCUAUAAGGUAGUGGGUGAAGGGUAUUAUGACAGCAUGUAUAGGGUCAUCUGGUCCAGUCUGGGGAGGGCUUCUUGGAUAUUCAAGUUGAGAUGUGAAGGCUGAAUAGGAAUUAGCCAGAAGAAAGAAGGGGAGGGAUAUGGGGAAAAUGUCCAGAAAGAGAGAACAGACUGUGUGGAAAUCUAGCAUGGCCAGGUUAAGAAAAUAAAAGCAGCUUAGGAAGUCUAAAAUGAAGUGAGGAAAUGGUGAGAGCCAAGGCUGAAGAGACAAAAGCAAGCACAUAAGAGACCCUAUGAGCUGUAUCGAGGAGUUUGAACUUCACCCUGUGGCAUGCUUCGUAUAAUGGUCGAUAAACGUUUCUCGACUGUACAAAUGAAUGAAGGUGGCCAAUAGAGAAGAAACGAAGGUCAGAAAAAGAUCCGAAAAGGCUUCCCUAGAGAUUCUUAUACGCACUGACUGGGCUGGAGGACUGGUUAUGAGACUCUGCUUCCCAUCUCAAAAGAAGAGGGGACUGAGCACCAGAGUGGUGCUAACUACCUUCCUUACUUCUCCCCUCAACCUCCCACUCCAGAUUAAUGAGUUUUAAGAAAGACUUAUACUAUCUUGUGAAGGAGGGGCAGAACUUAUCAUCCCCAAUUCACGUAGAAAAAGUUGUCAUAUGAGCAGAUCUCCCCGAUGGAGGUGUUAUAACUGCUAUCAAGUGAUUAGCCCUUUUCCUCUGGAGGGACUGCACUUUUGAUAUCCUGCCGUCCACAUGCCUUUUUAUUGGUAGGUCCAUGUGCUCUAGGGGUUUAAUCUAAGAAAGGACUGACUAGGAGUAGGAACUAAAGCUGGACCGAAUAGAGCCCAGGAGGAUUGUAAUUCUGAAUCAGUCAUAAUUAUUGGCCUCAAAACAGAUGCUGAGGGAUGUAGCUGCAUAGAGUACGGGCUACUGAAGACAUGCAGCUGCUUCUGAGUGGAAACUGGCAGCAGUUGUGUGGUAGCUUAAGCUGGGUCAUCUUAUUCUAGAUGGCUCUCACAUCAUCCUCACAUUCUUUAGAGGAUGAAAGUAAUUGUCAAUCUGUCCCCAGUCAUUUCUUAAGGUCAAAGAACCUCAGGUUCCUAAUAAACACAUGGGGUUAAGAUUCUGUCUUGAGUCUUUUCUGAGAAAAUGGAUCUCCAGAGUGUCUGUUCCACAUUGAAAAACUCUCACCAGGUAACUGCAAGGCAGGUUGGGAGGGACAGAUGGAAACCACCACCCACCUUUCUUCCCAGUCUUACCGCUGUUGGAGGAAUCUCUCAGGGAGUGGCACCAUUCAGCAGGCUCCAUGCUUGGCAGCCAACUCACUAAUCUUUAUGACACCCCUGGAGGUAGAUAGGUGGCAAAUGACAUCUCUAGUUUGUAGACAGAAAAGUGAGGUACAGAGAGGUUUAAGGGACAAUAAUAACAAAGCUACUAAAUGGCAGAAAUGGAAGGAAAAAUCCCAGUUCCUUGAUGCCUCUGUCUCUUUGUUCCUAAACAGGCUUCCUCUUUUGGGGGAAGUCCAGGAAGGAAAAUGUGGGGGGCAGGGGCAGGUUUGAGCAUUGAAGCAGGAUGCUGCUUCAGCCCAGGAAAAACACUCACUUACUUCAUCCACACACUUACGUCCCAGCCGAGACAAGGAGACCAGCAGCCCUUACUUACAGCUCUACAACUGGUUCUAAACAGCACCACCAGUUUCACUUAGACAGGACAUAAUUUUUUUCUUUUGAUAAUUAGGUCCUGGUUGAGAUAGACAUUUUAUUCUGGUAAUGAUCAAGCUAUUCAUUAGACUCUUCCUAAAAUGAGACUUCAGGAGCGAAACCGUAGGCACAAUAGUGCAUCCAUUGGGGUCAAGGAUGCACUCUCUGGUUCUCAGGCCUGAGAUUUUAUUACUUCUCUCAU
Non-coding RNA from Microcebus murinus (gray mouse lemur), 2472 nucleotides. NCBI's taxonomy places the organism in Eukaryota, Metazoa, Chordata, Mammalia, Primates, Cheirogaleidae. The record is from RefSeq and is a predicted model, not a curated record.